CCUACGGGUGGCAGCAGUGAGGAAUAUUGGUCAAUGGUCGGGCGACUGAACCAGCCAAGCCGCGUGAGGGAUGAAGGUACAGAGUAUCGUAAACCUCUUUUGUCAGGGAACAAAGGCGGGUACGUGUCCCCGGAUGAGUGUACCCGAAGAAAAAGCAUCGGCUAACUCCGUGCCAGCAGCCGCGGUAAUACGGAGGAUGCGAGCGUUAUCCGGAUUUAUUGGGUUUAAAGGGUGCGGAGGCGGUCUGUUAAGUUAGCGGUAAAAGCCCGGGGCUCAACCCCGGCCCGCCGUUGAAACUGGCAGUCUCGAGUUGGAGAGAAGUAUGCGGAAUGCGCGGUGUAGCGGUGAAAUGCAUAGAUAUCGCGCAGAACUCCGAUUGCGAAGGCAGCAUGCCGGCUCCACACUGACGCUGAGGCACGAAAGCGUGGGUAUCGAACAGGAUUAGAUACCCCUGUAGUC
This 459-nucleotide ribosomal RNA is filed under the name uncultured bacterium. Its description in RNAcentral is "partial 16S ribosomal RNA". It matches the Rfam family "Bacterial small subunit ribosomal RNA", at positions 338 to 795 of the family's 1533-position model. The record is from RNAcentral.